GAUGAAGAACGUAGCGAAAUGCGAUACUUGGUGUGAAUUGCAGAAUCCCGCGAAUCAUCGAGUUUUUGAACGCAAGUUGCGCCCGAAGCCAUUCGGCCGAGGGCACGUCUGCCUGGGUGUCACGCAUCGUUGCCCCCCCAAACUCCGGUUCGGGCGGGGCGGAAGUUGGCCUCCCGUGCGUGCCUGCGCGCGCGGUUAGCCCAAAAGCGAGUCCUCGGCGACGAGCGCCACGACAAUCGGUGGUUUUUUUACCCUCGUUCCUCGUCGUGCGUGUCCCGUCGCCCGAACGCGCUCUUGUGACCCUCACGCGUCGCCUCGGCGGCGCUCCCAACGCGACCCCAGGUCAGGCGGGACUACCCGCUGAGUUUAAGCAUAUCAAUAAGCGGAGA
This 389-nucleotide unclassified non-coding RNA is filed under the name soil metagenome. RNAcentral describes it as "partial contains 5.8S ribosomal RNA, internal transcribed spacer 2, and large subunit ribosomal RNA". The stretch from base 1 to 122 matches the Rfam family "5.8S ribosomal RNA", at positions 35 to 154 of the family's 154-position model. The record is from RNAcentral.